RNAcentral lists this long non-coding RNA (350 nucleotides) under Sorghum bicolor (sorghum). RNAcentral's name for it is "long non-coding RNA (SBIC_LNC003215)". Lineage: Eukaryota; Viridiplantae; Streptophyta; Magnoliopsida; Poales; Poaceae. The record is from RNAcentral.
ACGACGUAGGAUAACUAGCUGAAGAUCAGCCGAUAACUUGCUGCAAGCAGCGAGGAUAACUAGUGCAACCUGACGACACGCACAAGGAGCCAACCACCGUCUCUAUACGGCAGCCUGAACCAAGGAUUCGCCCAACCACACUCUCAAAGAACCAACCUACGCAACCUGAACUCAAGGAUCAGGAGCACGGAUUGGGUGCCGAUGACGCGGCCGCUUCUGUAAUCUCCACAAGGAAAACACAAGAGCAAAGGGGUAGAGAUCUCUCUCUGAAUUUGUUAGCACACAGCUGAACAAAGUGGUUUGUAUUCUCAAUAUCAUAAGUCUUCGAUUACAAUGAGUCUUAGGGGGUA